RNAcentral lists this ribosomal RNA (707 nucleotides) under Salmonella enterica. RNAcentral describes it as "partial 23S ribosomal RNA". It matches the Rfam family "Bacterial large subunit ribosomal RNA", at positions 2227 to 2925 of the family's 2925-position model. The record is from RNAcentral. Lineage: Bacteria; Pseudomonadati; Pseudomonadota; Gammaproteobacteria; Enterobacterales; Enterobacteriaceae.
GUGGACCCGUGAUCCGGGUUGCGGACAGUGUCUGGUGGGUAGUUUGACUGGGGCGGUCUCCUCCUAAAGAGUAACGGAGGAGCACGAAGGUUGGCUAAUCCUGGUCGGACAUCAGGAGGUUAGUGCAAUGGCAUAAGCCAGCUUGACUGCGAGCGUGACGGCGCGAGCAGGUGCGAAAGCAGGUCAUAGUGAUCCGGUGGUUCUGAAUGGAAGGGCCAUCGCUCAACGGAUAAAAGGUACUCCGGGGAUAACAGGCUGAUACCGCCCAAGAGUUCAUAUCGACGGCGGUGUUUGGCACCUCGAUGUCGGCUCAUCACAUCCUGGGGCUGAAGUAGGUCCCAAGGGUAUGGCUGUUCGCCAUUUAAAGUGGUACGCGAGCUGGGUUUAGAACGUCGUGAGACAGUUCGGUCCCUAUCUGCCGUGGGCGCUGGAGAACUGAGGGGGGCUGCUCCUAGUACGAGAGGACCGGAGUGGACGCAUCACUGGUGUUCGGGUUGUCAUGCCAAUGGCACUGCCCGGUAGCUAAAUGCGGAAGAGAUAAGUGCUGAAAGCAUCUAAGCACGAAACUUGCCCCGAGAUGAGUUCUCCCUGAGACUUAGAGUCUCCUGAAGGAACGUUGAAGACGACGACGUUGAUAGGCCGGGUGUGUAAGCGCAGCGAUGCGUUGAGCUAACCGGUACUAAUGAACCGUGAGGCUUAACCUUACA